Molecule: ribosomal RNA, 698 nt
Filed under: Chaetothyriales sp. A1027
Lineage: Eukaryota; Fungi; Ascomycota; Eurotiomycetes; Chaetothyriales
Also listed under: 5 other names
Description: SSU rRNA
Rfam family: Eukaryotic small subunit ribosomal RNA
Source: RNAcentral
GCCAUGCAUGUCUAAGUAUAAGCAACUAUACUGUGAAACUGCGAAUGGCUCAUUAAAUCAGUUAUCGUUUAUUUGAUAGUACCUUUACCUGGAUAACCGUGGUAAUUCUAGAGCUAAUACAUGCUAAAAACCUCGACUUCGGAAGGGGUGUAUUUAUUAGAUAAAAAACCAAUGCCCUUCGGGGCUCCUUGGUGAAUCAUAAUAACUUAACGAAUCGCAUGGCCUUGCGCCGGCGAUGGUUCAUUCAAAUUUCUGCCCUAUCAACUUUCGAUGGUAAGAUAGAGGCUUACCAUGGUCUUAACGGGUAACGGGGAAUUAGGGUUCUAUUCCGGAGAGGGAGCCUGAGAAACGGCUACCACAUCCAAGGAAGGCAGCAGGCGCGCAAAUUACCCAAUCCCGACACGGGGAGGUAGUGACAAUAAAUACUGAUACGGGGCUCUUUUGGGUCUCGUAAUUGGAAUGAGUACAAUCUAAAUCCCUUAACGAGGAACAAUUGGAGGGCAAGUCUGGUGCCAGCAGCCGCGGUAAUUCCAGCUCCAAUAGCGUAUAUUAAAGUUGUUGCCGUUAAAAAGCUCGUAGUUGAACCUUGGGCCUGGCUGACCUGUCCUCCUAAUCGAGCGCACGGGUUCGGUCGGGCCUUUCCUUCUAGGGAACCCCAUGCCCUUCACUGGGUGUGGUGGGGAACUAGGACUUUUACC